Molecule: long non-coding RNA, 1405 nt
Filed under: Oreochromis niloticus (Nile tilapia)
Lineage: Eukaryota; Metazoa; Chordata; Actinopteri; Cichliformes; Cichlidae
Description: lncRNA (ENSONIG00000036249.1)
Source: RNAcentral
UUCCUCUUCCUAAUGUGUGUGGGAUUGGCUAAAGUUGACUCAAAAUAUUUCCCAUGUGCCUACACAUCACACACCAUAGUCUGUUAUGUCACACCAUAACUACACACUAAUACUAAUAAAAAUACUAAUAAAUGUUAGUAAUGCUACUUGCUACCACACGCAAACUCUGCUUGUACAUUUAAAGUGGAUAAGUCAAAGUCCCAGUUGUUAAAGGACGCACCAAAGAUGCUGACUCUGUGGUAAAAAUAUACCUGAAGGUGUGAGUAUGAGGUGGUUAGGUUCUUGAUGAAACUUUUCAGGAAAGGUAACUUCUUAGUAAUCGAUAGAGUUCAACUAGUGGAACGUAAUAAUCGUCUCGCCUUAUUUGGUGCUUUCCCCCUGUGACGUAGUCAUGGGUGAGUUGUAUAAGUACCAACAGUAGUAAGAUUAUCUAGGGAAUUUACCUUAUUCUACUCAAGCUGACACUGCUAGCUCCGGAGCUCUUUGAAAGACAUGAAGAACUUUGGUAUCGAGUGUCUUACACUGUUGAUGGUAGCUGUGAUGGUCUAUGCAGCACCAACCAACCCGUGUGAAGACAAAAGGCUGAAGCUGAAGCAAAUUAGAGAAAAUGCCAACAGGGCAAAAGAUAAUCUGCCUGACUUAACUGUGCCUAAGAUAGACAAAUGUGUGGAAAAGUUCUUCUGCUUAGCCGACAAGGCGCUGACCAAAACUAUGGAAAAUUAUUCAAAUCAGAAUCUAACAAAACUCGAGCAUUCCCUGCAUGUGUACAGCAAGGAUGAAAACUGUCAUCUGCACACGCAAAGCCAAUUUAAUAUAAAAAAGUUUCUGGAUGAAAUUGUGCGUUGUGUUGACGUCGCCUUGAACAACAAGAGCAUCAUAUGUCCCCAUCAUAUUAAAUGAAGAAUUGUCCUCAAGUUUAUUGCAACUGUAAAUAUAUUUAUGGACUUAUUUAAUGACAUAUUUAUUACUUUUUUCACAUUUUCUAUUUAUAUACAAAUAAAUUAAAACAAAAAAGGUGCACUUGUCAUUGCUUUCAUUUUUACACCUAUUGACGUGUGUGCUUGUGUGUGUUUGUGUGUGUGUUAGUGUAUUUAUUACUCAUUACUGCCAUCAGUGUGUAACGUUUAUGGGAUAAUUAUGAACUUCAGCCAGGUAUGUUCAUGAAUUAGACUUGUGAUCACUGGAUUUAUAGCCUAUCUUAAUCCCUUUAUUUAAAAUUAAAUUAAUGUGCGCAUCAGUCUCAUGCUUAUUACCAAUAUAAAUGAUGAAAUUAUUAAAUGUUUUUUAAAACAUGUCAUUGAUAAAUAAACAAACAGGGCCUCCCUGAGUAGAGCGUAGGCUUCUAUGUCUGCCUGAGAAAGCGGUCUUUUGAUGAUGACCACUUCCCACGCAGGAAAGCAGAAAU